Molecule: ribosomal RNA, 535 nt
Filed under: uncultured bacterium
Lineage: Bacteria
Description: partial 16S ribosomal RNA
Rfam family: Bacterial small subunit ribosomal RNA
Source: RNAcentral
GAUGAACGCUGGCGGCAUGCCUAAUACAUGCAAGUCGAACGAAGCUAGUUAAUUGAAAGUGCUUGCACCGGAUAUUAACAGUGCUUAGUGGCGAACGGGUGAGUAACACGUAAGCAAUCUACCUUUAAGAAGGGAAUAAUUUCCGGCAACGGAUUGUAAUACCCUAUAGGAUAUUUGAUGGCAUCUGAUAAUAUUUAAAGGCGUUUAGGUAACUAAUCGUCACUUAAAGAUGAGCUUGCGGCGCAGUAGCUUGUGGGUGGGGUAACGGCCUACCAAUGCGAUGAUGCGUACGCGGCCUGAGGUGGUGAGCGGCCACACUGGGACUGAGACACGGCCCAGACUCCGUCGGGAGGCAGCAGUAGGGAAUCUUCCGCAAUGGGCGAAAGCCUGACGGAGCAAUGCCGCGUGAGUGAAGAAGGCCUUCGGGUCGUAAAACUCUGUUAUAAGAGAAGAACAAAUUGUAGAGUAACUGCUACAGUCUUGACGGUAUCUUAUCAGAAAGCCACGGCUAACUACGUGCCAGCCGCCGCAGUAA